This 246-nucleotide long non-coding RNA is filed under the name Elaeis guineensis (African oil palm). RNAcentral's name for it is "long non-coding RNA (EGUI_LNC069393)". The record is from RNAcentral. Lineage: Eukaryota; Viridiplantae; Streptophyta; Magnoliopsida; Arecales; Arecaceae.
UAGGAGUCGGGUGUGCAUUAAGAAGGGAUCUAUUGACCCUAGCAGAAGAAAGUAGUCCUAUAAAAUUUAAGAGGCUGAGUCCUUAAGUCUAUGGCCAUAGCAGUGUGAUUGAUGGAAAAAAAUUUUUAUAAAGCUACAUAUGGACUCAAGCUGAUUGAAUCUAUCAUAUGAUCAAUGUUGAGGUUUGACGAUUUAUCCAUGACCUACCAUUUGGUCGAGACUCACGAUAGAGAGACUGUAUCAUAC